UUCUCGAAUUUAGAAGAGCUAUUUUUUUUAUUGUAAUAAAUAUUUUUAAUAUGUAAUGAGAUGUUAAUAUAUCUAGUUAUUAAAGAAAAUUUAAUUUUUUUAUGUUUUAGGGGAUGAGCUUUAAGUAGGAUUAGAAGUUUUGUUAUAAUUUAUCUAUUUAAUAGAAAGUUUAAAUUAAUUUUUUUAUUAUGAUUGAAUUAGUAUAAGUUUGAGAAAAGGAACUCGGCAAUUGUCUUUCACCUGUUUAUUAAAAACAUGUCCUUUUGUGAAAAAUUUAAGGUCUGACCUGCCCACUGAGGCCGCGGUAUUUUGACCGUGCAAAGGUAGCAUAAUCAUUAGUUUUUUAAUUGAAAGCUGGUAUGAAGGGUUGGAUGAGAAGACAGCUGUCUCUUUUUAAUAGAAUUUUAUUAUUAAGUUAGAAUGCUUAAAUAUUAUUUAAAGACGAGAAGACCCUAUAGAGUUUAAUUUUGGUUGGGGUGACUGAAAAAUUUAGUAAACUUUUGAUUAUAAGAUAAAAUUACCUUAGGGAUAACAGCGUUAUUUUUCUUAGAGUUCUAAUCGAAAGAAGAGUUUGCGACCUCGAUGUUGGAUUAAAAUAAAUUUUGGUGUAGAAGCU
Molecule: ribosomal RNA, 616 nt
Filed under: Oemospila maculipennis
Lineage: Eukaryota; Metazoa; Arthropoda; Insecta; Coleoptera; Cerambycidae
Description: partial large subunit ribosomal RNA
Source: RNAcentral